UAUCUCAAUACUCAAGAUUCAUACUUGCCCCUAGGCUCCAGAAACACAGUCCAGUUCUUGCUGGUACUUUGUCACCACAUUUCACUGUUUUGGCCACAGCAGAGAAGACUCAACUUUAGCAGUUGAGCAGGCAGGCAGAGAGAAUCACUCCCAUUAUAUAUCAGCCAGUUUCUUGGAGCUGUCAAUUCAUUUGCCUUUGAGAGAACUGGGGCUCAAACCCCCUUCCCAAAUAAGAGGGAAGGAAGUGACCUCCCACUCCAACACCUUAUCACUAACACCACAUUUCCAGUAGAGCCAUGGUUCCUGCUGCCCCUCCUCUUCUCACUCUUCUUACACAGCAGGUGUGGAGGAGUGCAGGGGAAAUCAUUAGAGUGGAAAUGGAGUUUCAAAGUUCUUUCUAUUGUUCCUUAGUAAUCCUGUUGUCAUUGUCUGUUCAUCAAAGCAUAAAGACAUGCAUGGCAUCUCCCCGCUUACCAGUUCUGGCACGUUUGGGCUUUCCAGCUGACCACCAAGGAGCCCAGGCUGUUUAGUUUAUGUAAGUGUAUGUUGGUAAAAAACAUAAAAAUAAUUAUGCUGGAUCUGAGGUGAUAUGUUUCUAAUAUUAGCAUCAUCAACAUCAGACGCCUGCCUAUGGGCAUGUGGUUGCCUGAUUUUCUUAAGAUGUUUCAGAAAUGA
RNAcentral lists this long non-coding RNA (675 nucleotides) under Homo sapiens (human). Its description in RNAcentral is "non-protein coding lnc-DNAJB9-5:1". Lineage: Eukaryota; Metazoa; Chordata; Mammalia; Primates; Hominidae. The record is from RNAcentral.